Molecule: long non-coding RNA, 1971 nt
Organism: Oreochromis niloticus (Nile tilapia)
Lineage: Eukaryota; Metazoa; Chordata; Actinopteri; Cichliformes; Cichlidae
Source: Ensembl
AUGAUUGAGCAUUUCAUUAAAGUAAUGUUUAAAAGACAUUUCUCGUUUGUUCUUUCAGCUGCAGCCUCGCUGGUGUUUAACUGUCUGACAGUAAAGAAGAUAAAAGAUAUGUGCAAACACAAACACAUGAAAAGUAUUUGCAGAAAAGCUAAAACAGCUGUAUUAGACUAAUCAUACAAAUUUUCAUGCAUGGGUUGUUUAUAGGCAGUAAUCAUAAGAAAUUCCCUAAUUGGACCUUGUUACACAUUUUGGUGGUGGACUCUGAGGCAGACAAUUACUUCACACCCCAUUUUCCUUAACUGGAAUGAUAGUAAAUUUUGGACCGUAAAUAAUACAUGUAAUUGGUAUUAUGUUUACAAUAUACCUGGAUGGCCAUGAUGAACACUGAGACCUCCUGAAAAACAAACAGUUCUAAUUGCAGGUUCAAAGGUCUACUUCAACAGUUUGUAAAUUUGGAUUGUACUAGGUCAAUAGUUGCUCACCUGUAGAUGUUUAAUCAUGCUGACUCAACUUUGCCUUACCUUAAUCUUUUCAGUUUGCCCCAUACCAAUGAAAAGUCCUUCUCUUUCCUUUUGGUUGCCAAGUGCCGGGUCAGACUGCAUGUCCCUCCUCAGUGCUUCAAACUCUACCUUUGCACACUGUAACUAGAAUAGAACUAAAAUAGAGUCAUUUAGUUCUGCAGUUUUUGCUAGAGAAUGCAUUUGAGUAAUUUAAAUAUGUCAAUCCACAGAAAACUGGACCCUGCCACACACAGGAAAGACAAUUUAUGCCCCAUUUUUCUAAUUUGAGGUUUGCUCAUUUUAUAGGGGAUCAGGCUUUAGCCUCUUUCCCUCCAAAAUAUCUGAUAAUUUAGAUUUUCUCCUAAAUUGUUUUUUUGGGUUCAUUCUUUGGGAGAGUUAACAAUAUCUCUGCUAAGCUAUAUGUUUCCCCCCCUUUGCCAAUGCAGUUAAGAUUAUGACCGAAUCCUUCGCUGCUUCCUCCUUCAUUCUUCUUUUUCCUUCCUUUUGAAAUGAACUACAAAUUGCUCACACACUGAAUUAUAGCACUAUGGAUGGUUUAGUGCUGCACAUUUAGAGCUAGCAUCUUACAUGAACAGAGGUAGCUGCCACUGGUCUAUAUGUAGCCGCACUGAAAAAGAUUAAAGACAGAUUAUUUGUCAUAUCUGCAUACAGAUUUACACAUGUGUACACAUUUGCACCCACACAGUUACAUACAUGUCAGGAGGAUACCCAAGAGCAGUGUACCAGGGUCAGAAACAGCAGAUGUUUAAAUAUCUCAUUUCGUGUUACCAGGGAUCCCGAGUUUCAUCAGUACCCCAACUUUUAGUAAAUCCCCAUGUGUAAGUUUCCUCCCUUCAAUAAUGCAAUGCUCAUCCUGGAUUAAUAACUUCUCUAAGUUUACUUAUCUGUCCCAUGCCCUACUGGGGUUCUAAUGCUCUGUGUGUAUCUGUUCUAGUGUCAAUGAGAGUCAUGUCUGCACCCUUUAUGUAUUAAACUUUUCAAUAAUAUUCUAAUGUAAGAGUGUUAGUAAUGAAUAUAUUUUUAAUAAUCUCCUAUCUAAUGCUUUCAUGUGGCCUAGUUCUUAUUAUUUGUGUUCUUUUUCUACUGGGAGAGUAACACAAGGAGUGGAGCCCAGGGCUUUAAACUUAUUAGUUUGCUGGGAGCAUUACUGAUGCAGCUGCCUCAUGUUGUUCACUGCAGAUAUCAUGGAUAGUUAGGUACUCUGGUAUCAGUCACAGUCCAUAUACUGAAGAUUUCUCUUGGCAGUAAAUUCCUUGUUGGUAUGGUACUGCCCACAUUCCUCUUGGAGUUCUCCAGGAACAUCCACACAGAGAACAUCCCAGAUGCAGACGAUGUUGGCUCUUAGAGGCCACCGAUUGUCAGUCCUCAGCAGAUUGAUGAGUAUGUCAGCUGACUAAAAGUGUGUUUUAAUACACUUUUCCAGCCCUCUGCAGAUACAGUCUUUCAUUGG